This 2999-nucleotide long non-coding RNA is filed under the name Solanum lycopersicum (tomato). RNAcentral describes it as "long non-coding RNA (SLYC_LNC000564)". The record is from RNAcentral. Lineage: Eukaryota; Viridiplantae; Streptophyta; Magnoliopsida; Solanales; Solanaceae.
UUGGAGAAUAAAGAGAGAAGAAACAAUGUCUAAGAAGAAAAAAGAAGAAUUGCGGAGAACGAUCACGUUAUAUUUUUAAAGCAAAUACUUAAAUAGGAAUUAAGACUCAACCACCUAAGAGAACCACAACGUUAUCUACUAAGCUAAAUAUUAGCAACUAACAAAAGAUAUGAUUUGACUCAAGUAGGACUCCUAACAAACGUGUUACUCUGCCAACUAAAUAGGAACCUUUGAAUCAAUAUUAAACACUCCCUCUUGAUUCAAAAUUACAAGAUCCAAGUUUAUGCCGGAACUGAUCAUGCUUGGCUUGUGGGAGUGUCUUGGUGAGAAUAUCUACAAUUUGAUCAUUUGUAUCGCAAAACUUCAACUAUCACCUGUUGCUGUGUGGUCACGAAUGAAAUGAUAACGGAUCUCUAUGUGCUUUGUUCUUCUGAAAAGCCGAAUUCUUUGUUGUCACAUCCGAGAUUACCCCCUAGACAUAACUAAUGUCGUCGUCCUCUUUGAGGAUUAAGACUAGCCUCUUAGCUUACAUCAUUACAUUCAUAGGUCAAAAUUAGUGAAAAUUUAAAACUUUUUACUACUUUUACAUUGAGGUUUACAUAGACCUCUACAUACACGUAAUAUAUACAUAUCGAGUAUAUAUAGACCCUUCGUAUAGGAAGAUUACUUAGUCUUCUACUUUUAUUGCACAUAGAUACAUAGAAUAUAACAUAGUCUCAAAAGCAUGUCUAAUAUCCAAAUGAAAAGGAAAGAAUAUAAUAGUCUUAAAACUAAAACAACAUCAUAGGCUUGAUAGUGACACUAUCCUUGGAAAGUGAGGACCUACCCAACUUGGAUGAUUAAGAAUUCCAAGUUUUCUUCAAAGUCGUCUCCAAAAGCUCUUCAACGACCAGAACCUACAAUGUAAGGGAAAAAGGAAGAAAUGGGGUUAGUACACUAAUUGUACUAUGUAUGAGACUAUAUGCACACAUAUCAUGAAAACAUGCUAAAAGGGGAAAGUUCAUUAAAUAUGCAAUUUACUUUGAAAACCUUUAUGCAAAUUCAACAAGACCAUACCAAAUCAACAAGACAUAUUCAUUAAGUCAUAGACAUGUACAUCACAAGACCAACAACAUCAAAACUAGUCAAGUCAACAUGCAUAUCAUAUAAUUGAAUACAUAGUCAAGUAACUCUAUCAUCAAGUCAUAAAUAACCACAAGCAUGAAUAAGAGUUCAUUAUAACAUAACCAAAGUAAGACAAUUAUCCACGACUACUAUCAAGUCAACAAGUGUAAUGACCAAGCAAAGCCCCAUAACCUUAUUCAAUCAAGUAACUCAACAAGAAUCAUGACCAACAUCCCGCUUCACAUAGCAUGACAUUUAAGAGUACAUAUCAUCAUACUUUAACAAUGUAGACCAAGACAUAUUCAUAAGUGACACCAAUCAACAUAUAGUAUCAACAAUGUGCAAGUUCAUCAUAAACAUAUCAUGUACCACUAUAAGCAUAUUCAUACAUAAGAACAUCCCCUAAGACUCCCUUCAAGACUAACUAGUGCAAUGUUUAGGUGGAGUGCCAUAUCCCUACCUAGACUAAGCUAAACCCCUUAGGUUAUCUUAGUUAGAGUUCAUUCCUUUAAUUCAUUUUACCAUUUGGGAACAUCUUGCCUAACCGACAUAGACCACAUGAGCUAAUGUGGAAUCCAGUGUCAUGGAACCCUAUACUGAAAGAAGGCGGACUAUUUGCCAAGGUAGUAAUAAAACAUGAACAUAGCAACUAUGUAGAACCACUAGUUAGUAUUCCUAUGGGGGCAACAUAGUUCAAGAAUUAGGAGAUAUAGUUGGGACCCUUUUAAUGCUACAUGCAUUGUAAUCUCCAAUCUCAAGAGUAUAUUGGUGAUCUUACAUUCCCUAUGUGAAAAGGGACACUCCUCACUCUAGUUCACUUGGUGCUAAGCUAGAUUCCCUUUUUGAAAUGUCUUUAAUAUCUUUAUUAAUCAUCAUAACUUAGUGUAGGUCAUAGGUUCUAACCCUUGUAUAACAUCAUCAUCAUCAUACCUCAAUAAGAAUUGCAUGAGUAUUGUCCUUUCAUUAUAAUUCAUAUAGGUGAGGUUAGCACAUUAACAUUUUCAUAUCAUGAUAAGGCACACCGGUAAAUUCAUUUACCAUCCUUAUAACAUUUACAUCUUAGCUAACACCUUACAAACCAUAGUCAAGACAUUUCAAUUCAACAUCAUACCAACCCUAUCAAUCCUAAUACAAGUCAUACUCCAAUAUAACAUCAUGACUUAAUCACAAUUAACCAUAAUUGAAGUAAAGAAUAGGGAUCACAAGACUUACCAAGUCUCCUUCAUAAUUCAUCAUCAAUGUCUUACCAUAAACCCUUACUCUAACUAAUUAGGGUGUAGUAUCAUCAUAUAACCAUAACCAACAUGGUAACAAGACUAAUGGAAUCACUACAUCAAAAUCAAAUACUAGUUCAUAGCUUAAUAUAAGACACACAGAUCAAAGUCAUAAUCUAAAGCAAUUACUCAAAAACUAGCAUGGUAGGACUAUAAGUCACCCUAAUCUAUUCAUGAUUAAUACAAAAACAUCAUCUAUUAGUAAUUCAACCAUAACCAAGUCAAUUGAACUAACAUUACACAAUUCUCAUCAAGAUCACAACUUAGGGUUAAGGGGUAAAGGUCAUCUUCUACAAACUAGACCGAUCCAUCAAGAUAUAUCAUAAUUGAGUUAAAUUACAUGUUAAUCUAUUCAUAAUAUCCAAAACAAAUCAUAACAAAGUGAUCCAUAACAACACUUUGGAGAUUGGAUGAAACCCACUUGAAAAAUCAACUUUUGAAAUCAAUUUGGUGGAAACCUUUGAGGAAAUAGGUCUCAAAGGUGAAAAGAAUCCCAUACCCUGCUAAUUGAUGAAGAAAAUUGACCCUUUGCAGCCCUUGAACCCACCUCUCUCUUGGUCUUCAAUGGGGGGUUUCUUUGGGAGAGAUAAAGAAAAGAAGGAAGAGAGUUUUGGGUUUGGG